Molecule: non-coding RNA, 251 nt
Filed under: Sporosarcina newyorkensis
Lineage: Bacteria; Bacillati; Bacillota; Bacilli; Caryophanales; Caryophanaceae
Description: T-box sequence
Rfam family: T-box leader
About the family: Uncharged tRNA acts as the effector for transcription antitermination of genes in the T-box leader family.
Source: RNAcentral
UAAUAAUCAGUGACGAGAAAGAGUAAGAGAAGAACCCUGUUCUCCAGAGAGUCGGCGUUUGGUGAAAGUCGAUGGGCAGAUCUUAUCCGAAAAUCAUCUCCGAGAUGCAAAGUUGAAAAUAGUAAACUUUGACGGUUUUCCACCGUUAAAUGGAGCGCGUAUGAUAGUACGCUGACUGAGAGUCGGAUUGUUUCUUUUUAAUGAAACGUGCGGAAUAUGGGUGGUAUCGCGAGCAUAAACUCGUCCCUAUU